ACGUAGGUGGCGAGCGUUGUCCGGAAUCACUGGGCGUAAAGGGCGCGUAGGCGGUCAUGCAAGUCGCAUGUGAAGGACCAGGGCUUAACUCUGGGGUGUCAUGCGAAACUGUGUGACUUGAGUGCAGUAGAGGGAAGCGGAAUUCCUGGUGUAGCGGUAAAAUGCGUAGAGAUCAGGAGGAACACCGGUGGCGAAGGCGGCUUUCUGGGCUGUAACUGACGCUGAUGCGCGAAAGCGUGGGGAGCAAACAG
Molecule: ribosomal RNA, 251 nt
Filed under: uncultured prokaryote
Description: partial 16S rRNA
Rfam family: Bacterial small subunit ribosomal RNA
Source: RNAcentral